Molecule: long non-coding RNA, 1128 nt
Filed under: Sus scrofa (pig)
Lineage: Eukaryota; Metazoa; Chordata; Mammalia; Artiodactyla; Suidae
Description: lncRNA (ENSSSCG00015072781.1)
Source: RNAcentral
UUUGGCAUUGAUCCAAAGUUGAGCGAUGUGUGAGUAAGAUGAAAGAGCCUUGCCUAGGUAUUCAGAAGCAAGAGCAAUGCAAAAACGGUCAUGCGAUCAACAAAGCAGUACAGUUAUUAAAGCCCUCCCAGGGUGAAUAAACAAAAACUCACCAAUGACAGCUAGAAAAAAACCAAACAAAAAAAAACUUUCCCUGUAGUGACCACUUUGUACUGCUUCCUUUUUUUUUAACUUAAGAAGCAAAAUUUAGUUUAUAAAAAUUAAAGCAUAAAAUCAAAUCAUAUCCCAAACAUUAAACAAAACUAACUCAAGUAACACAUUGAAUCUCACUUUUGGCUUGUGUUUGACAAGAAAUGGCCAUGGCAGUUUUUUGGCAUCUUUCCAACUGGACUUCCUUACAGAGCUGCCAGGACACUGUUAAUUAGGAAAAUAGUUGCAAAAUAAAGAGGCUUUGGAGAGAACAAACUACAAAUGUGAUUCAAAUAUAUUGAAUCUUUCCAAGAUGUGCCUUGUGGCCUUUCUCAGCGUAUUACUUGUUCAGAACAUCACUCAUGAGCCAGGAACCAUGAACAUGCAGGAACUGUGUACACGAUGUGGCUGUCCCCAGCAAAAUCAAUUCCCACAUGGUGAUGCAGCUAAGAAUCAUCAGUAGCCAUUACUCCUAGAAGCUCAUGGAAUUUGAAAGGUGGGUAUGGGUGGCAUACUAUACCAUCCACUAUAGAGGAGUCACCUAAAGCAUUGAAUUCUGAUGGAAAACUUUACAAAUUGUAUAUGGUCAGGAGAUUGAUGAAUGACAGAUGAACCAGUGAGAGGUUCUAAACUCAGGACAGUCACUGAAUUGGUAAGGGGCAUCAAGACUGUGAAGUAAAAGAAUUGCAAACAAAUGAAUACCUGGGAAAAAUGGUACCAUGUUGAAAAUAGAAGGUGUACUGACUGGAACAAGAGAGAAUGUUGACAAACUUCGCAAGCAAGUAUGGACCUGAAAUACUCAUUUCACUAGAGUGAAACAUGAAGCCACUAGUAACUUAUUAUAUUAAUAGUGUAAAUUCUUGACCCACUUCUGUGGGUCCAUUUCUGUACAAUAUUUUUACUUUUUUUUCUAAUACUUUAAGAAACCAGCCCUCUGGC